AAAGCAGAUCGCCUUAUCGCUAUUCGCUUUUGCGACUAGAGGAAAGUCCGAACACCAUAGUGCAGCAUAAUGGUUAACAGCCAUCGGCCGUGAGGUUAGGAAAAGUGCAACAGAAAGAAUGUACAGGUUAAGCUGUAGUGAAAUCAGGUAAACUCUAUGCGGUGCAAUGCCAUGUAAACCAGCGUUUGAGCGCAGCACGUGCAAUGCUGAAGGGUAGGCAGCUAGAGCGUAUUGGUAACAAUACGUGUAGAUAAAUGAUAAGGGCUCUUAUGAGAACAGAAUUCGGCUUAUAGAUCUGCUUUUUUU
Formosa sp. Hel3_A1_48 is the source of this 306-nucleotide non-coding RNA. It matches the Rfam family "Bacterial RNase P class A". Rfam says of the family: Ribonuclease P (RNase P) is a ubiquitous endoribonuclease, found in archaea, bacteria and eukarya as well as chloroplasts and mitochondria. Its best characterised activity is the generation of mature 5'-ends of tRNAs by cleaving the 5'-leader elements of precursor-tRNAs. Cellular RNase Ps are ribonucleoproteins. NCBI's taxonomy places the organism in Bacteria, Pseudomonadati, Bacteroidota, Flavobacteriia, Flavobacteriales, Flavobacteriaceae. The record is from Rfam.